RNAcentral lists this ribosomal RNA (400 nucleotides) under uncultured bacterium. Its description in RNAcentral is "bacterial SSU rRNA". It matches the Rfam family "Bacterial small subunit ribosomal RNA", at positions 359 to 776 of the family's 1533-position model. The record is from RNAcentral.
GAAUAUUGGACAAUGGGCGAAAGCCUGAUCCAGCCAUGCCGCGUGAGUGAUGAAGGCCCUAGGGUUGUAAAGCUCUUUCGGCGGGGAAGAUAAUGACGGUACCCGCCGAAAAAGCCCCGGCUAACUUCGUUCUAGCCGCCGCGGGAAUACGAAGGGGGCUAGCGUUGUUCGGAAUUACUGGGCGUAAAGCGCGCGUAGGCGGAUUGUUAAGUCAGGGGUGAAAUCCCGAGGCUCAACCUCGGAACUGCCUUUGAUACUGGCAAUCUCGAGUCCGGGAGAGGUGAGUGGAAUUCCUAGUGUAGAGGUGAAAUUCGUAGAUAUUAGGAAGAACACCAGUGGCGAAGGCGGCUCACUGGCCCGGUACUGACGCUGAUGUGCGAAAGCGUGGGGAGCAAACAGG